RNAcentral lists this ribosomal RNA (507 nucleotides) under uncultured bacterium. RNAcentral's name for it is "partial 16S ribosomal RNA". The record is from RNAcentral.
GGAGUUAGCCGGUGCUUCUUCUGUGAGUGAUGUCCUUCCUGCCGGCUAUUAACCCGCAGGCCUUCUUCCUCACUGAAAGUGCUUUACAACCCGAAGGCCUUCUUCACACACGCGGCAUGGCUGGAUCAGGGUUGCCCCCAUUGUCCAAUAUUCCCCACUGCUGCCUCCCGUAGGAGUCUGGUCCGUGUCUCAGUCCCAGUGUGGCUGAUCAUCCUCUCAGACCAGCUACGGAUCGUCGCCUUGGUGAGCCGUUACCUCACCAACCAGCUAAUCCGACAUAGGCUCAUCCGAUAGCGCGAGGCCCGAAGGUCCCCCGCUUUCCCCCGUAGGGCGUAUGCGGUAUUAGCCUGGGUUUCCCCAGGUUAUCCCCCACUACCGGGCAGAUUCCUAUGCAUUACUCACCCGUCCGCCGCUCGCCACCAGGGAGCAAGCUCCCCGUGCUGCCGCUCGACUUGCAUGUGUUAGGCCUGCCGCCAGCGUUCAAUCUGAGCCAUAAUCAAACUCUGA